RNAcentral lists this ribosomal RNA (1418 nucleotides) under marine metagenome. RNAcentral's name for it is "SSU rRNA". It matches the Rfam family "Eukaryotic small subunit ribosomal RNA", at positions 1 to 1441 of the family's 1831-position model. The record is from RNAcentral.
ACUGGUUGAUUCUGCCAGAAGUCAUAUGCUUGUCUCAAAGAUUAAGCCAUGCAUGUGUAAGUUCACACUGAUUAACAGUAAAACUGCGGACGGCUCAUUACAACAGUACUAACCUAUUUGGAUGUUCAACGCUAAAAGGAUAACUGCCGCAAUUCGGGAGCUAAUACUUGCUAAAAGCGUCGCAAGACGUGUUUUUCCUUUCCUUAAAUCGAUCACCUAUGGUGUCUUCUGAGGAGUCGAGGGAACUUAACGGACCGCAUUCUUCGGAGGCGGUCGUCCAUUCGGAGUACUGACUUAUCAAAUGUCGAUGGUUCGGUAUUGGCGAACCAUGUUGGUAACGAGUAACGGGGAAUCAGGGUUCGAUUCCGGAGAGGCAGCCUGAGAAACGGCUGGCACAUCUAAGGAAGGCAGCAGGCGCGUAAAUUACCCAUUGCAGACUCUGCGAGGUAGUGACAAGAAAUAACGAGGCGUUGAUCCUAGUGAUCGUCGCUGUCGGAAUGAGAGCAGUUUAAAAUGCUCAUCGAGUAUCAAUUGAAGGGAAAGUCUGGUGCCAGCAGCCGCGGUAAUUCCAGCUUCAAUAGCGUAUACUUAAGUUGUUGUGGUUGAAGAGCUCGUAGUCGUAACUCUGGAUUAUCAACUUGUAGUGGGCGUCGCUUCGGUGGUGCUCACUUUAGGAGUUUGGUAUCCUCAUUUUGACGUUUGGGUGCGGGUGUCAUUAACUUGACGUCCGUAAACUGCGUCGAUUUUACCUUGAAUAAAUCGGAGUGCUCAAAGCAGGCUCUAAUGCUUGAACGAUUGUGCAUGGGAUAAUGGAACAGGGCGUCUCCGCCCUUACAUUGGUUUAAGUGGAGACGUAAUGAUAGAUAGGAACGGACGGCGUGAUUCGUACGAGAGGGUGAAAGGUGAAAUUUUUAGAUCCUUCUCAGACGAGCGGAUGCGAAGGCGUUUCACGAGAACGUUUUCAUUGAUCAAGAGCGAAAGAAGCAGGUUCGAAAACGAUUAGAUACCGUUGUAGUUGCUUCCGUAAACGAUUUAGACUUGCGAUAGGCAAGGGUUGUUAAUAACCUUGUCUGCAGCUUCCGGGAAACCAAAGUGUUUGUAGCCCAGGGGGAGUAUGGUUGCAAAGCUGAAACUUAAAGAAAUUGACGGAAGGGCACCACCAGGCGUGGAGCCUGCGGCUUAAUUUGACUCAACACGGGACAACUUGCCCGGCCCGGACACAGGAAUGAUUGACAGAUUGAGAGCUCUUUCUUGAUUCUGUGGGUGGUGGUGCAUGGCCGUUCUUAGUCGGUGGAGUGAUUUGUCUGGUUAAUUCCGAUAACGGACGAGACUCUGACAUGCUAACUAGUUUCGCUUGCUACCUUUUAGGUCAGGUGGGAACUUCUUAGAUGGAUUGGCGCCUUUUUGAAUGCGCAUGA